Long non-coding RNA from Aedes albopictus (Asian tiger mosquito), 1238 nucleotides. RefSeq lists it as uncharacterized. The transcript is spliced from 2 exons. The record is from RefSeq and is a predicted model, not a curated record. Lineage: Eukaryota; Metazoa; Arthropoda; Insecta; Diptera; Culicidae.
CUAAAUGUUUUUCUCCGUUUCCAUGUUUAUUUAUUUUGUGUGUAAUCAAAGCACUUCUUUGCGACGGUAAGCCACCAUGUGUAGAAACCGUUAACUUCGAAAUAUUUCGGCAUGAGAAGCUUUGAUUGAUAUCGCGUUUCGAGUAAUGUAAAUAAAAUAGCCUACAUUAAGGCGAAUGAACCAAAUAAAUUCAAAAACGGUAAGUGAUGGAAAUUUCCAUAUAGGAAAAUUCCCUGAUGCGUAGAUUAAAAAAAAACCAGUGGAAAAUUACUCUCUACGACUGAUUUUAAAAGAACACAAAGGCACUAUAGAAAAAGGUAGUUACUGCGAGUUAAUAAAUAGCUCGAUCCAACUCGUCGCGCGAUCAAUUUAUCUUUUCUGGUGGAGUGUUAAAGACAACCGAGUUUUUUGAAAAAAAGUUGGAAAAAUAAUUAAAGUUGGUGCAUAAAGUGCUAAAUUCGAAUAAAUUUAGUGAGUUGGUUAGCAAAAACGUUGAGAAAGCCUGAAAUUUGUGAAAGUUAAGGAUUAGAAUCAGGUAAGCUGGUGAGCCAUUUGACCCAAAAGCGAGUGAGAAAUAAUUGUGACCACGUUAAACAGGCCUUGCCCAUCUAACGUGGGCGGUUUAUCUAGGGCUUAUCCUAGCUGGAUUUUUCCCGAGUGCAGCCGAGACCGGAACCACCUGUGGUGCUGCGAGCUUCCGUUUGAUAGUCGACCACUUCGCGCUCGAGUGUGGUGAAUACGGUGAGCCGAGAAACCCGAACUCGUCGCGCCAAGACGUGUGGUACCGAGCUUCGCAGAACCUGCUCGAAUCUCCACCAAGCGUGAGGACGCCUCUACCUCACCCCUACCCACGCACGAGUUGGCUCAUCGGACUACGUUGGAGGAAGCAAAUCGUUCGGUCGGCUGGUUCGUCAUAUUGUGGCUCGGCUUCGAGAGACUGCUCGACUGCGAACGACGUGGAGCAGCGUAUCGACGGAAAAUUCAAGGUCAGACCUAGCUGUAAGAUACGAUUGCGCAACGUAUAAAGAAGAGUUUUUUGAAGAGAAUUGAAUGAGCUCGAAUGUGACGUCACACGGUCAGUAGCCAGUUGUAUUUGAUUCAGAAUCGUUCUAUGGAAUCGAAACUGACUGAAAUGAGAACUUGUAAAACUCAUUAAAUUUGCCUUUUUAAUAGUUUUUUUUUCGUUUUCUUGGUUUUUAAAUAAAAUUUUGAUUACUUCGAGCUUAGUAAAAACAUUC